Molecule: long non-coding RNA, 4764 nt
Organism: Corapipo altera (White-ruffed manakin)
Lineage: Eukaryota; Metazoa; Chordata; Aves; Passeriformes; Pipridae
Exons: 5
Source: RefSeq, a predicted model, not a curated record
UGUCCUCAGAACUUGCUGUGAAUAUGGUGCUCAGUGUGCAAGAACACGUCCGUGAAUCAUUGGCCUGUGGCUGGCCUUUGGCAGCCAAGACACAAGAACAGGCUAUGGGAACAGGAACUUUACAAGAUAAAAGGGAACAAGACUACAAUAGAGCUUGAGGGCCAGGCAUGCUGCCAACUGCCCAGUCAAGGAGAGAUAGAGGUCAUGAAGACUAUGAUAGGAGGAAGUAACAACCUCCGAAGAGAGUAGCGACCCCCGGAGUGCUCCUGGCACAGGCAUGCUCCAGUCCAUCAUCAUGCUGCAAAAGUGCAGACGUGAAAAUUUGGAAAACCCUCCUUCUGGCUUGUGAUGGCCACAUACACCAGCAUGAGACUGCAAACUCCCCAGAUAAAAUGCCUGAGCCUGUGUGCUGGGACGAGGCACUCAGAACACUGAGGACCAUGUUGCCUCUGCAGGGAUGCCCGCUAAGUGUUUUGCCUGCCAAACCUCAUCAUGACGGGACUUGGAGCUGGACUCCUUGCCUUCCAAACACUUCUUCUGGGAUUGGUCACUCUGCUGUUCUCUGCUUUGAUAUUCUUCAGCACAUCUCCAUAAGCAGUUUUAAGCUGACUUCGUGUACCAGCUAAGGUGAUGACAGGAACCAUAAAAUAGAUGGGCGGUAAACAAGGUAACAGGAGUGCUGAAAACACAGUGACAGUGGAAAAGCUUAAGGAGCUACAGGUGAAAAGGUCCAUGCCAUAGUAUGUCAGGCUAAAGAAGUGGAGAGAAACCACCCAAGAGAAAACCUGUACUAGGGUUGCACCAGCUUCCAGCACCCCCCGAGAAAUGAGAGGGUGACAAGUGACAGGACGAAGGAAAUGGCCUCCAGCUGCAACAAGGGAGAAAAGAAUUUCUUCACGGAAAGGGUUGUAGAGCACUGGAACACGCUGCCCAGUGAAGUGAUGGACUCAUCACACCUGAAAGCAUUCAAAAAGCUUGGGCAUAUGGUGCUUGAGGACAUGUUUUCAACAUGAACAUGUGCUAUGUUGAUGAUUGGACUUGAUGAUCUUAAAGGUCUCUUUCCAACCUUAAGGAUUCUAUGACUUUCAGGCAGACUUUGCUGGCCUCUGCUCCUUGGAGGUGGGAAAUUUUAGCCAAGAAUGCAGGAAACUAUUUUAAUGCUGAAUAGAACAGCCUAAGUUUGAAGAGGCAGAGGUUUCAUCAACACCGUUCUUCUCCUAAAAUCCCUGCUGUAACAACAAAUUGAGGUUUCUUUUGCAGCAGCCUUCUGGAAAUACUUGAGCUCCAGAGGCAUCACCAUACUCACUGAUCUCUGUCUCUCAAGCACGCACAACCAAAACAUGCUUUAGUUCCCAGAAACAAACUCUCAUGUCACACUUUAUGUUUCACAGAGGAGAUUUCACAGAUUUUGAAAGACUUCCAAAGCAGUAGAGUAGUCAGUAUGGGGUUUUUUCUGAACUCUUGAUUGGAAUGUCUAGACCAGGUUUCUACACUUCCCAACAAUCUUAAAAUUAUCUCAACAAAACACUGUACAAACACGACUCUCAUCUGGAAAGAGGAGUCUGGAAAGCUGAACUUCUGAAUCUCCACUUGCAGUAAACACCAUGAUUUUUGCUAGUGUGCAUUGCAAAUGGCAGAAGUACAUAAAAAAAGCUUGUACCCUGAACUUAUAUUGAUCCAAAUGUCUUAUAGCAGUUCAAAAUGAGUCCUGUCCUGGCUGCAGCACUGCUUUGAGAAAUGAUAUUGAGCUUUGUGCAUGAUUAGUGGAAGGAGCAUCCAAUGGUGCAUCUAAACUCUGAUGGAGGAGCAAAGAGGUAAGUAAGGCUCAUUAUGCCUAUCAAGUAAAGGUAGUUGUUAGGGAUGUAACAGGCUAAAACCAACAUAGUCUACAUAAGGAAAAAAAUAUCAUUAUAGUUUUGACAGCAGAAAGUAUUAUUUUACAAGAUUGCCUUCUUGUAUCUGUUAUCCCUGUUUUGGAGUCAACGAUAUUACUGAAAUUUUUUCUUAAUGAGUAGUUCAGCGUCUCCUGGAGUCUUAGAAAGAGCUUCUGAACACAUGAAAUAUUUGGUGCCCUGGUUCUCAAGAAGAGCAUUUUUCUGUUUUGAAGAGCUUUGAGGUCUCGACCUGGUAAAUUCUGCAAUUCUUUAUUCAAGAAAAAGUUUUUUGAAAAUCAAUAAUUCAACAAACUGGAAAGCCAGGCUGCCAGGGUUGUUCAGCUAUAGCUCUUGUGUUGGUCAGGCAGACUGACAUGAGCUGUGGCAUAGCUACUUGGACAUGGUUUGCAGAUUGUCUGUGGUGGUGCAGGACCCAUUGUGAUGAAAGACUGUGGGGGUUGAGGACCAUGAAGAAGAACAGUAUCAGAGAUGGAAGAAAGCAUUACAAGAAUCCAUAGAAGAGGAAGAUGAAGUUUCAACAUAAUGGACUUUCAGCAAAUACAAUGGACUGAUGCAUGAAUGCGUAGGUUUUGAUGUUUGUUGUAUUCUCCUACUUUGUACUCCUACAUUUUUAUGAAAAAUCCCCUCAGGUUGUUUACUUCUUUUACCGUCAUGUUCUGAUUGGUUGUUAGCUGCCACAGUGUAGAUGUUCCAUAUAAGGUCAUACCUCUCCCCUUGAUCCCUUAUAGAGAUGUAACCUCUCCUUGUUCUCCCUAUUAAGGCGAGUUCCCUUCUUCUCUUUCCCUAUAUGUCAUGUUCACAUCCCCAGUUCCAGAAUGUUCCUUUCCUCUGCUAUAUUAAGGGGAAGCCAUUUUAAUAAAGAGCUUGCUUACUCACUUACUCCAGGACCUACAUACCUACAACGAACCCUGAGUGAGUGUCCCUUAUUUCCCCACCGGGCCGUAACAAAAGACCUUGCUGGGAGUCGAGGUGAAGAAAUGGCUGUUGUUCAGUAUUAAAACUAGCCCUAAUGUGGGUUUGCUAUAUAGAGACAUCAAUGUUGACAUGUAACCUGAGGAGGGGAGGAAGGACUGCUGAAUGCAGUUUGACAACGUAAUACGCUCUUGUGUAAGCGAAAAGGAAUAUGUUCAACCUUCAAAAAUAACCAUGCAGUCCAUGAAAAGACAACGUGAAUUUACAAAUAUAAGUGACAGAGUAGUUGAACUGAGGUAUUGGAGUUGUGGCAUCUACUCAGAGUUUUUUCUCUGCUUGAUUACUCUUGAUCUUCCAUUGAAAUUUGCCUGGAGUGUGCACAGUGGGGCUGUGAAAAGGGAGAUGAGCAAAUCCCAUCUUCCUGAUGGAGGUGUCAGCCCUUGUUGGGCUGUUUGGUGAAUGGGUCUUCAGCUGAGGACUCCCACAGUUAUUGCCCAACACAACUCUUAUUCUGUGUGUCUCUGCACCUGUUCUAACUCCCUAGACAACAGAUACAGCGUUGUCUUGUCUAGCAAAUGCAUGGCGUACCAGCACAAGGGAACUGGAAGCUGGGCAGCAGUGUACUCUGUAAAUCAUUGCUGGAGAAGUGCAAUGGGAUUGCUCAUGUGCCAAAAAAUUCCAAGCAUCCCAAGGAAGCUUCUACAGCAACAUGCAAGGACUCAGUCUCCGAGCUUAUGUGCCCUUAUUGUAUGCAACAGCAGUAACCACCUCGCCAUUAUCUAUUUUUGUUGCAUAUGUGCAAGGAAAUGCUCAAUACCUUUUGAAUAUUGUGGUUUACACCAGCAUUAUUCUCGCUUUUUCCCAGGCCUCUAUAAGCUGGGAAAGUCACCUUGUGUUCAACCAAUAGCGGGUGUAUCCUGCUUUAGCUUUUGUCAGGGAGCCAGCAUUUCAUCUCUCAGCAGGCACAUUGCAGUCACAUAAUGGAGGCAGGAACUCAGCUGAAAUAAAGCAAUGCUGAAAGCUUGUCAGAAAUGUAAAUGAUAUUGCACCUAUUGUCAGUGAUGUAUCCUCCAUUGUUCUCACAGUUGUUUCCCAGCUGAAAAAAUGCUGGGGAGCCUGCAUGAUGAAACCAGAGACUGUUUACUGUAACAUGAUCUGUCAGGAACAGCUAACUGAUCUCAUACUACAAGAAGCAUACAUCUGUGGAAAGGAGAAUUGAGUACUGAAACCCCGUGUUCGUAGUGCUGCAAAGCUGCAGUCUCAAAGUUUCCUCUGGCUGUGUCAGUAUCGCAGGGAAGACUGAAAAUGCAAUUUACCUCAGUCAGGGGGGAAAGGUGGUUCCUUCUGAUCUGUGCUGGAAGUGAAGGUAGAAGGAUCUCAAGAGGUUUGUUCCAGAAGAGGAAGGAUUACUCGGCAUGGGAAAGAGAAAGAACAGGAAUAAAGACAAGAGCCAAGCAAAGAAAAACUCUAACCCCAGGAAGUUCACAAGGGAUUUCUGCAUAAAGUUUGCUUAGCUGUCAUUAAAUAGUAGAAACCUGAAAAAUGGUGGGUUUUAGAAACUGAGAAUAAAUAUCUGGUAUGUCGACAGAUGAGUUACUGAGAGGUGAGAUGCCAUUUUCUGCAAGUAUGUUACUUUCAGGCACCUUACUGUGACUAUUUUGCUCAAUUUCAGUAGUGUGAUACAAUCAUUUCCCACAAUGCUUAUAACACAGGUCUCUGUCAUGAGCACAGGGCUUGCUCGUCUGUAUGAAUUUGGCUGAGACUGACCACAGAAGAGAGUCUAACUCAGAAUUUUCCAAAUGUGAACUUGGAGGUGUUGGACAUGCUUCUUAUGCUGAAAAAAGAGGAAAGUACUUACUGAACUUACUGAACAUGGUUUUUUGCAAUAGUUCUUGUUGAAGUGACAAGUGUUUUGAUCUUUGUGUUUUUAAACCGUUAAAACCAACUCAAAUUUCAA